This 116-nucleotide ribosomal RNA is filed under the name Pteropus alecto (black flying fox). The record is from RNAcentral. Lineage: Eukaryota; Metazoa; Chordata; Mammalia; Chiroptera; Pteropodidae.
GUCUAUGGCCAUGCCACCCUGAACAAGCCUGAUGUCUGAUCUUGGAAGCUAAGUAGGGUCAGACCUGGUUAGUACUUGGAUGGGAGACCACUUAGGAAGACCAGGUGCUGCAGGCA